Ricinus communis (castor bean) is the source of this 571-nucleotide long non-coding RNA. RefSeq lists it as uncharacterized. The record is from RefSeq and is a predicted model, not a curated record. The transcript has 2 exons. NCBI's taxonomy places the organism in Eukaryota, Viridiplantae, Streptophyta, Magnoliopsida, Malpighiales, Euphorbiaceae.
UUUAGGACAUCUUCUGGCUUCCCAUCAAACCUAAAUGAAACAGCAACAUUUAUAUAAGUACAAUUAGUAUCGGCAGAAAAUCUGACAAUUCAAAGCAAUGUAGAUAAAGGAAAAAAGACAACCGUGUUUUUGGCUAAGUAAAGGUAUUGGUCCUCGUUGUCAGGCCCACAUUUUUGCAUAUGAACCCGUAUAUAUAUAUAUAUAUAUAUAUAUAACAGUAGGAAUCCCCAGUUCUCUAUUGCUAUUUAUCUAGUCUUUGGUUAUUCAAAGUCAAAGUGAUUUUCAAACCUAAUGGCAUGCUUGCAGUUUUCCCUCCGACAAGAGGAUAGUUAAUAUUUUACAAAUUGGCUUGAAACAGAAUGUAAAAGACAUCACCAUGUGAUUCAUACAGCAAUAAAGAUGUCAAGAAAAGUUACCAGUCCUUCCGAUGCCACAUCUCGUAGCUUUCCAGGUUUUACAUUUGUUAUCAGCACAACAUGGCGAUUCUUUAAAGAAAAUUGAAGAAAAGAAAUGUAAACAAAGUAUUUCUCAUUACAAUAAAAAUGAAUAUAACUGAUUAAGUUCAGGAAAA